RNAcentral lists this ribosomal RNA (496 nucleotides) under uncultured archaeon. Its description in RNAcentral is "bacterial SSU rRNA". It matches the Rfam family "Bacterial small subunit ribosomal RNA", at positions 899 to 1397 of the family's 1533-position model. The record is from RNAcentral.
ACUCAAAUGAAUUGACGGGGGCCCGCACAAGCGGAGGAACAUGUGGUUUAAUUCGAUGAUACGCGAGGAACCUUACCUGGGCUUAAAUGGGGGACGACAGCUGCUGAAAGGUGGUUUUCUUCGGACGUUCUUCAAGGUGCUGCAUGGUUGUCGUCAGCUCGUGCCGUGAGGUGUCGGGUUAAGUCCCAUAACGAGCGCAACCCUUACUGUUAGUUGCCAUCGGGUAAAGCCGGGGACUCUAGCGGGACUGCCACCGUAAGGUGAGAGGAAGGUGGGGAUGACGUCAAAUCAGCACGGCCCUUAUGUCCAGGGCUACACACGUGUUACAAUGGCCGGUACAAAGGGCAGCUACACCGCGAGGUGAUGCUAAUCUCGAAACCCGGUCUCAGUUCGGAUCGAAGUCUGCAACCCGACUUCGUGAAGUUGGAUUCGCUAGUAAUCGCGCAUCAGCCACGGCGCGGUGAAUACGUUCCCGGGCCUUGUACACACCGCCCGU